UCUGUGGUUUUACAAUGGAUUGCCAGUUGAGGAGAACCCCGCGGUGAUCAAUCUGGAUAUCACCCCAGAGCAUUCUGGGAAUUAUACUUGUCGAGCAAGAAACCCCAGAUCUGGCCUGCAACGUGAGACCACUCUGGAGAUUGACAUGAUAGGAAAACUAAAAAGCUUAAACCGCCGUUGAGGGCACUGUUUCCAUUCUCUGAUUCCUGAGGCAAGUUGACGCUUCAUCUGUUUUUACAUCGUUGUAAAUUUUGAAUUUUUGAAAUCUAUGUUGAAACCACCUUGUCGAGUUCCUGGGGGGGGGGUCACUCCUGGCUCUCCAUUAAGAUUACAACAACGGAUCAUAUCAAUAUCCAGAUAUCAUUUGCACUUCUGUAAUGAAGGAAUAUAUGCAGUUAUUCAAAUGCAUUGAGAAGUAUGGAAAUUUGCACUCAA
This is a long non-coding RNA of Protobothrops mucrosquamatus (brown spotted pit viper), 435 nucleotides long. RefSeq lists it as uncharacterized. NCBI's taxonomy places the organism in Eukaryota, Metazoa, Chordata, Lepidosauria, Squamata, Viperidae. The record is from RefSeq and is a predicted model, not a curated record. The transcript has 3 exons.